Molecule: long non-coding RNA, 802 nt
Organism: Rosa chinensis
Lineage: Eukaryota; Viridiplantae; Streptophyta; Magnoliopsida; Rosales; Rosaceae
Exons: 8
Source: RefSeq, a predicted model, not a curated record
GAGAGAGAGAGAGCGACGAGGGCCUCAUCUUUUGGGUUUUGGUUAUUUGCUGGACACAGAGAGAGAUAAAGCGAAGUAAAUAAAGGAAAAAAGGAGAGAAGAAGAGGCCAUCCCUUCAAAAUGUCCAUCGAUAGGGUGGAGUUUGCCAUUGGAGGCUUAAUCGUGGACACCAAGGUGUUCUAUUGGCCAAGAAAGGACUUUUGCUAUGGAUUUCCGUGUGCUUAGCUUUGCUGAUUGAAGAAGAUGAAUGGAAAAAUGAGCUCUUCUUCAGCUUCAGAAGGUCUCCAUUGUUUUCACCUGUCAUGACUCAAUAGCUGACCCUGCAGCACUCAAAUCAAAUUGCCUAACUGGACAGCUGAUUCUCCUGCAAAGAUGCAUUCUUAUGCUUAAAACGGUUGCUACCUUGAGGAGAGAUGCUGCUGCUCAGGAGUUGAUGUGUGCUUGGAGUGCUGGCCAUUUAUGACAAUUGCUAUUAAAGUGAUUGACACUGCCCAUUGAGAUGACUUUGGUUUCAAUGACAUUCUUUGGGUAUACAGUGGUCGACAUGGUGUUCACUAUUGGGUUUGUGAUGAGAAAGCUAGAAGUGCAGAGACUUAGAGAAUUAGUUCAGCAGGGGAUUUUCAGAUUGUGAGCACAUGCAGAGGACGUUAGCCAAGGAAUUUCAACACAUGAAGUCUUACGUAUGCAAAGGUUUAAAGAAUUGAUUACUAUAGCUUUGGUGAUUGUUUAUCUCCCUCUCUUAUGAAUGUUGGAUUCUAUUAGUUAUGUCGUCAAUAUAUUGAACUUCACAACUUAUUGUUCU